AUUGAACGCUGGCGGAAUGCUUUACACAUGCAAGUCGAACGGCAGCACGGACUUCGGUCUGGCGGCGAGUGGCGAACGGGUGAGUAAUGUAUCGGAACGUGCCCAGUCGUGGGGGAUAACGUAGUGAAAAUUACGCUAAUACCGCAUACGAUCUAUGGAUGAAAGCGGGGGAUCGCAAGACCUCGCGCGAUUGGAGCGGCCGAUAUCAGAUUAGGUAGUUGGUGGGGUAAAGGCCCACCAAGCCAACGAUCUGUAGCUGGUCUGGGAGGACGACCAGCCACACUGGAACUGAGACACGGUCCAGACUCCUACGGGAGGCAGCAGUGGGGAAUUUUGGAAAAUGGGCGAAAGCCUGAUCCAGCCAUUCCGCGUGCAGGAUGAAGGCCCUCGGGUUGUAAACUGCUUUUGUACAGAACGAAAAGGUUUCUACUAAUACUAGGAGCUCAUGACGGUACUGUAAGAAUAAGCACCGGCUAACUACGUGCCAGCAGCCGCGGUAA
This 500-nucleotide ribosomal RNA is filed under the name uncultured bacterium. Its description in RNAcentral is "partial 16S ribosomal RNA". It matches the Rfam family "Bacterial small subunit ribosomal RNA", at positions 30 to 523 of the family's 1533-position model. The record is from RNAcentral.